CCUACGGGAGGCAGCAGUGAGGAAUAUUGGUCAAUGGCCGGAAGGCUGAACCAGCCAUGCCGCGUGAAGGUCAGUGCCCUAUGGGCGUUAAACUUCUUUUGUGCGGGAGCAAUAAUGGUCACGUGUGGCCAUACGAGAGUACCGUACGAAUAAGAAUCGGCUAACUCCGUGCCAGCAGCCGCGGUUACACGGGGGAUGCAAGCGGUAUGCGGAUUUUAUGGGGUGAAAGGGAGCGUAGGCGGGUUGUUAAGUCAGUUGUGAAAGUUUGCGGCUCAACCGUAAGAUUGCAGUUGAUACUGGCAACCUAGAGUACGGUAGAGGUAGGCGGAAUUCGAUGUGUAGCGGUGAAAUGCGUAGAUAUCACGAAGAACUCCGAUUGCGAAGGCAGCCUACUGGACUGUAACUGACGCUGAUGCUCGAAAGUGUGGGUAUCAAACAGGAUUAGAUACCCGAGUAGUC
RNAcentral lists this ribosomal RNA (459 nucleotides) under uncultured bacterium. RNAcentral describes it as "partial 16S ribosomal RNA". It matches the Rfam family "Bacterial small subunit ribosomal RNA", at positions 338 to 795 of the family's 1533-position model. The record is from RNAcentral.